GGGGCUGUAGCACGGCAGCCGGCACACAACUCCCCUCUCAAGCCGGCCGCAGGUUCGACUCCUGCCAGCCCCA
This 73-nucleotide transfer RNA is filed under the name Pseudoclavibacter sp. CFCC 11306. RNAcentral's name for it is "tRNA-OTHER". It matches the Rfam family "tRNA". Rfam says of the family: Transfer RNA (tRNA) molecules are approximately 80 nucleotides in length. Their secondary structure includes four short double-helical elements and three loops (D, anti-codon, and T loops). The record is from RNAcentral. Lineage: Bacteria; Bacillati; Actinomycetota; Actinomycetes; Micrococcales; Microbacteriaceae.